CACGUAGGGUGCGAGCGUUGUCCGGAAUUAUUGGGCGUAAAGAGCUCGUAGGCGGUGUGUCGCGUCGGCCGUGAAAACCUGCAGCUUAACUGUGGGCUUGCGGUCGAUACGGGCAUCACUGGAGUUCGGCAGGGGAGACUGGAAUUCCUGGUGUAGCGGUGAAAUGCGUAGAUAUCGAGAGGAACACCGGUGGCGAAGGCGGCGAUCUGGACGAUGACUGACGCUAAGGCGCGAAAGCGUGGGGAGCAAACAGG
RNAcentral lists this ribosomal RNA (254 nucleotides) under uncultured bacterium. RNAcentral describes it as "partial 16S ribosomal RNA". It matches the Rfam family "Bacterial small subunit ribosomal RNA", at positions 524 to 776 of the family's 1533-position model. The record is from RNAcentral.